This 428-nucleotide ribosomal RNA is filed under the name uncultured archaeon. RNAcentral's name for it is "bacterial SSU rRNA". It matches the Rfam family "Archaeal small subunit ribosomal RNA", at positions 474 to 903 of the family's 1478-position model. The record is from RNAcentral.
UACCAGCUCUCCGAGUAGUGUGGAUGUUUAUUGGGCCUAAAGCAUCCGUAGCUUGCUAAGCAAGUCCCCUGUUAAAUCCACCGAUUCAAUCGGCGGAUUGCGGGGGAUACUGUUUGGCUAGGGGACGGGAGAGGCCGACGGUAUUUCCGGGGUAGGGGUGAAAUCCUAUAAUCCCGGGAAGACCACCAGUGGCGAAGGCUGUCGGCUAGAACGCGCCCGACGGUGAGGGAUGAAAGCUGGGGGAGCGAACCGGAUUAGAUACCCGGGUAGUCCCAGCUGUAAACGAUGCAGGCUAGGUGUUUGGGCGGCCACGAGCCGCUCUAGUGCCGCAGGGAAGCUGUUAAGCCUGCCGCCUGGGGAGUACGGCCGCAAGGCUGAAACUUAAAGGAAUUGGCGGGGAGCACCACAAGGGGUGAAGCUUGCGGUUU